Molecule: ribosomal RNA, 151 nt
Filed under: uncultured bacterium
Lineage: Bacteria
Description: partial 16S ribosomal RNA
Rfam family: Bacterial small subunit ribosomal RNA
Source: RNAcentral
GCCUGAUGCAGCCAUGCCGCGUGUAUGAAGAAGGCCUUCGGGUUGUAAAGUACUUUCAGUUGUGAGGAAGGGGGUGUCGUUAAUAGCGKUAUCUCUUGACGUUAGCAACAGAAGAAGCACCGGCUAACUCCGUGCCAGCAGCCGCGGUAAU